RNAcentral lists this ribosomal RNA (492 nucleotides) under uncultured bacterium. RNAcentral describes it as "partial 16S ribosomal RNA". It matches the Rfam family "Bacterial small subunit ribosomal RNA", at positions 30 to 507 of the family's 1533-position model. The record is from RNAcentral.
CGGACGCUGGCGGCGUGCUUAACACAUGCAAGUCGAACGGUGAAGCGCCUUCCUUUUUGGUGGGUGUGGAUGAGUGGCGAACGGGUGAGUAACACGUGAGUAACCUGCCCCCUUCUUCUGGAUAACCGCAUGAAAGUGUGGCUAAUACGGGAUAUUCUGGGUCUGUCGCAUGAUGGGUCUGGGAAAGAUAUUGUUUCGGUGGGGGAUGGGCUCGCGGCCUAUCAGCUUGUUGGUGGGGUGAUGGCCUACCAAGGCGGUGACGGGUAGCCGGCCUGAGAGGGUGGACGGUCACACUGGGACUGAGACACGGCCCAGACUCCUACGGGAGGCAGCAGUGGGGAAUAUUGCACAAUGGGCGCAAGCCUGAUGCAGCGACGCCGCGUGAGGGAUGGAGGCCUUCGGGUUGUGAACCUCUUUCGCCAGUGAAGCAGGCCUGCCUCGUUUGUGGGUGGGUUGACGGUAGCUGGAUAAGAAGCGCCGGCUAACUACGUG